GCUCUGCAGUCUUGGAACCGCGCUAGGUUGGUGGUACCUAGAGCCCACCAGACUUGCAGAAAAAGCAUACUCCGGAGGAAGCUGAGGCAUGCCUGCUCCAGAGCCAGCGGUUCCAUGUGCAAUUUUCCUCUGAUAGUUCCUGAAUACUGUUGCCACGGUGAUAGUGACUGGCCAUGUCAUUAUCUAUCCACCAACAGUAAGAGAAGCUUUGCAGUCGAGAUAUUGUUUGGCAGACAGAGUGGUUUCUGUUGGACACUAAGUACUGCUACAAAU
RNAcentral lists this small nucleolar RNA (273 nucleotides) under Sciurus vulgaris (Eurasian red squirrel). The record is from RNAcentral. Lineage: Eukaryota; Metazoa; Chordata; Mammalia; Rodentia; Sciuridae.